Molecule: ribosomal RNA, 301 nt
Filed under: uncultured bacterium
Lineage: Bacteria
Description: partial 16S ribosomal RNA
Rfam family: Bacterial small subunit ribosomal RNA
Source: RNAcentral
CAGCCGCCGCGGGAACACAGAGGGUGCGAGCGUUAAUCGGAUUUACUGGGCGUAAAGCGUGCGUAGGCGGCUUCUUAAGUCGGAUGUGAAAUCCCUGAGCUUAACUUAGGAAUCGCAUUCGAUACUGGGAAGCUAGAGUAUGGGAGAGGAUGGUAGAAUUCCAGGUGUAGCGGUGAAAUGCGUAGAGAUCUGGAGGAAUACCGAUGGCGAAGGCAGCCAUCUGGCCUAAUACUGACGCUGAGGUACGAAAGCAUGGGGAGCAAACAGGAUUAGAGACCCCAGUAGUCCCUGUCUCUUAUAC